This 428-nucleotide ribosomal RNA is filed under the name bacterium. Its description in RNAcentral is "partial 16S ribosomal RNA". It matches the Rfam family "Bacterial small subunit ribosomal RNA", at positions 355 to 776 of the family's 1533-position model. The record is from RNAcentral.
UGGGGAAUCUUGCGCAAUGGGCGAAAGCCUGACGCAGCGACGCCGCGUGAGGGAAGAAGGCCUUCGGGUUGUAAACCUCUUUCAGGAGGGAAGAAGCCACUCGGGUUAAUACCCCAGAGGGUGACGGUACCUCCAGAAGAAGCCCCGGCUAACUACGUGCCAGCAGCCGCGGUAAUACGUAGGGGGCAAGCGUUGUCCGGAAUUAUUGGGCGUAAAGCGCGUGUAGGCGGCCAGAUAAGUCCGCUGUGAAAUCUCGAGGCUCAACUUCGAGCUGUCGGUGGAAACUGUCUGGCUAGAGUCCGGAAGAGGAGAAUGGAAUUCCUGGUGUAGCGGUGAAAUGCGCAGAUAUCAGGAAGAACACCCGUGGCGAAGGCGGUUCUCUGGGACGGUACUGACGCUGAGACGCGAAAGCGUGGGGAGCGAACAGG